GAGAGUUUGAUCAUGGCUCAGAUUGAACGCUGGCGGCAGGCCUAACACAUGCAAGUCGAGCGCGAAAGUCUUCGGAUGAGUAAAGCGGCGAACGGGUGAGUAAUGCAUGGGAAUCUGCCUGGUAGUGGGGGACAACGUCUCGAAAGGGACGCUAAUACCGCAUACGCCCUACGGGGGAAAGGGGGGGAUCUUCGGACCUCUCGCUAUCAGAUGAGCCCAUGUCAGAUUAGCUAGUUGGUGAGGUAAAGGCUCACCAAGGCGACGAUCUGUAACUGGUCUGAGAGGAUGAUCAGUCACACUGGAACUGAGACACGGUCCAGACUCCUACGGGAGGCAGCAGUGGGGAAUAUUGGACAAUGGGGGCAACCCUGAUCCAGCCAUGCCGCGUGUGUGAAGAAGGCCCUAGGGUUGUAAAGCACUUUCAGUGGGGAGAAAGGUUAUUCACCUAAUACGUGAGUAGAUUGAUGUUACCCACAGAAGAAGCACCGGCUAACUCCGUG
RNAcentral lists this ribosomal RNA (500 nucleotides) under uncultured bacterium. RNAcentral's name for it is "bacterial SSU rRNA". It matches the Rfam family "Bacterial small subunit ribosomal RNA", at positions 7 to 507 of the family's 1533-position model. The record is from RNAcentral.